Molecule: microRNA precursor, 61 nt
Organism: Homo sapiens (human)
Lineage: Eukaryota; Metazoa; Chordata; Mammalia; Primates; Hominidae
Source: Ensembl
GUGCGGAACGCUGGCCGGGGCGGGAGGGGAAGGGACGCCCGGCCGGAACGCCGCACUCACG